Sander lucioperca (pikeperch) is the source of this 294-nucleotide long non-coding RNA. RefSeq lists it as uncharacterized. NCBI's taxonomy places the organism in Eukaryota, Metazoa, Chordata, Actinopteri, Perciformes, Percidae. The transcript is spliced from 2 exons. The record is from RefSeq and is a predicted model, not a curated record.
UUAUUGGGCCAUGCUAGACAUUUUGUCUUUUGUAUUAUAGGACAUGCAGAAGAGCUUUGAUGAGAAGAACAUUCAGAUGCUGCAGGAAGCUAUCCGCAAACUGGACCUGGAGGAAGGAAAAUACCACCUCAGGAGGUGUUAUUGCCUCUGGACUGUGGGUCCCUGAAUCAGGAGAGUUUGACGAUGAAAAGGAAGACGAGGAAGAAGAUUAGAAUAAGAGAACGGAGAACAUUCCAAUGUUUAACAAUUCAUUUUUGUGCAACAGUGUGCAAGUAUUGUUAUAUUGUAUAUAUC